GAAAACAUAAAACUUGUAAUCAGGAAAAUGCAAUAACGGAAGAAAUGCUUACUUGAGUAACUAAUGUGAGUUAGGCAAAGAAGAUACAAAUACUUCCCAUUUCCUACUUCUAAAUUACAGUCAAAUUGUCCUAAGCAAAUCUCUCAUUGUCUCCAUGUAAAAGAUAUAGAGAAGCCGUUAGAAAAAGGUGGCUGGAACAACUUUAUACAUACAGCCUGAAUGAACUGCCUCAUCAUUUAUAUGUUUGAGGAAAGUGUCUGUUUGAUAAUUUAAAUUAAGUUUAAACUGUCAUAAACGGAGAGCUGUACAGAUUCUGUGGGAGAGGAUACUGGGGUACCAGAUACUCAUUACUAGGCUCUCCACUCUGCCUUCUUCAAUACUCUGGAUCGGUGCCCUUUAUUCAUUUUUUUCACAACUUCCUCCCCUUUGCUCACAUUCUUUACAAGCUUCCAGGAUUUUUAAAUUUUAUUUUAUUUCUUUCCACAAUGACUCUCAUGGCUGUUGCUAUAGUUGCUAUAAAAGGCAAGGUGGGGAACAGACAGGUGAAUGAGCACAGAGGUCAUUUGUAAACCGUUUGUGGUUAGUGCUCCUCUGUUUACUGUCUGUCUGUCUCUCUCAGUGUCUCUGGGUAUGUGUCUGUUUACAACAUAAAAUAUAUGCACACAAAUCUCCAAUUUUUCUAGAGUAACUAUUAACACAGUUAAAAUCUGGAAGAACUCUAUCUUUUAAAGGAAAUACCAAUUAGCAAAUAAAAGAGUUGAUUCCCCCCAACUCUCAUUCCCCAGAGCUUGCUUAAGUGUAUGGUUUGCACACAUUCCAUAAAUAAAAACAUUGCUGGCUCAUAACUAUGCUUCAUUUUCAUAAGCCUUCCAAAUGUUAGUAACUUAGCCUUCUCCUUUUGAAGGGUUAGUCUGUAAGUGAUACUGGAAGCCAUGUGGUAAGAAAGAGGACAGAAGUAUAAAAUCAGACUCAGAAAGUAAAAUCUGGCAUAUUUGGCAUAGAUCCAUUCAGCUUCGUAUACUUUGUUAGGACCCGAGGGCAUGCCUGAUUUUCAUAAAAUCGAUGCACUGUUAUUAAAACAAACAGGUGAAAAUCACUUUUGUUAAACUACUUGACAAGGCAUCUGACUACCUUAAGUGUGUUAUAAAUUUUGCAAGUGGUUAAAAUUUUAUGCUUAUGAAUUCAAAAGAUAGACUUUAGUUAAAUUAAAAACUAAUUUAUGUAGAUAUUUUCCCUAAUAAUAUAGCACAAAUGGGUUUUAUUUCCAACUGAAAAGAGUAUUUAUUACCAUGGAUAUAACUAGAAGAAUCAUACAAAUAUAUGUAAUUCCAUUAGAAAAUAUUUUUCUUAAAAUUUGAAAUGACAAGAACUUAAUGAAUCUUAAAUAUCUCUUGUUUUAUUUUGAAAAAUUGUUUUCAUAAGAUACAAUUGAGCAAUUGAGAUUUGUUCUCCCAGUAUCUGAAGAUUUUUUUGGUCUUGUUUUGUUUUUUGGGUUUUUGGCCCUAAAAUUAGGUGAAUUCAGCUUUGGGUCUAUUUCAUCCAUUCUGGAAGGUUCCUUGGGUCACUGAUCUGAGGCAUUCUUGAUGUGGUUAGGACUUCCCAGCAUUAUUUUUUUUAGAUCCUGUUUAUUUAAAAUGAAAAGGAUUAGCAUGAGGGAUGGUAACAUUCCUUUUUGAUAUCUGUAGCAGCAAGUUUUCUUAUGAUUCAUUAUUCUUCUUCUUACAGCUUUAAAUCAUCUAGGAACUUCAUAUAAAAUUUAAUUCCAGUUUCAACUAGUUGUGGAGCAUUUGAUCCAAAAUAAAAUGAAAGUCCUCUCUGAAGCUGUAGAGGAGACUCAAGAAUCAGAACAACCUGAAGUUCUUUAAGCUGUCAGUUGAAGGACUAGCUAAACAAGCACUGGCCUUGAGAUAAGCAAUGCUGAAGCACUUGCAGCUCACCUAUUACCAUAAACUGACUGAGCCCUCCCUACACAAGCCGUAACUACUGCUUUGAUUGGACAAGAGACUGAUUUCAGUAGUUUUCUCUUGAUAAGAGACCACUGGCCGUGGGCGGGUUCUGGACAGUUUACAGAAGCUAUGCACUUGAUUGCCUUUGUGUCCCUGCUUCACCUUUUGAAGCAUAGGGCCUAAUUAUAAUGUAUUUAAAUGUUGUCUCCACCCCAAAGUGAACAUGGGUUGCAUGUAACAGGCAUGUUUACUCAGCAUGCAUGCAGCAGGAUCCCUUCACAAAUAUUCAGAGCUCCCCCUAUUCCCUGUUGAAUAUGUAUAUGUGGCCAGCCAGAUCAACGUAAAUCACUAUUCGCCCUCCCCUCCCUGGAAACCUACUUUUCGGGUUUCAGCAGGAAGCUAUGCCUCCCAGUCUGUCAGAAUGGCCACUUGCAGGCUGUAACCCUUUAUAAAAAAAUAAAAUCUCCUUUCUAAAUUUA
RNAcentral lists this long non-coding RNA (2425 nucleotides) under Homo sapiens (human). Its description in RNAcentral is "HSALNT0295294". Lineage: Eukaryota; Metazoa; Chordata; Mammalia; Primates; Hominidae. The record is from RNAcentral.